GCGAGGAUGGCGGAAUUGGUAGACGCGCUAGCUUCAGGUGUUAGUGUUCUUACGGACGUGGGGGUUCAAGUCCCCCUCUUCGCACCA
This 87-nucleotide transfer RNA is filed under the name Escherichia coli. Its description in RNAcentral is "tRNA-Leu". It matches the Rfam family "tRNA". From Rfam's summary of the family: Transfer RNA (tRNA) molecules are approximately 80 nucleotides in length. Their secondary structure includes four short double-helical elements and three loops (D, anti-codon, and T loops). Further hydrogen bonds mediate the characteristic L-shaped molecular structure. tRNAs have two regions of fundamental functional importance: the anti-codon, which is responsible for specific mRNA codon recognition, and the 3' end, to which the tRNAs corresponding amino acid is attached (by aminoacyl-tRNA synthetases). tRNAs cope with the degeneracy of the genetic code in two manners: having more than one tRNA (with a specific anti-codon) for a particular amino acid; and 'wobble' base-pairing, i.e. permitting non-standard base-pairing at the 3rd anti-codon position. The record is from RNAcentral. Lineage: Bacteria; Pseudomonadati; Pseudomonadota; Gammaproteobacteria; Enterobacterales; Enterobacteriaceae. RNAcentral also lists the same sequence under 47 other names.